This 966-nucleotide long non-coding RNA is filed under the name Phoenix dactylifera (date palm). RNAcentral's name for it is "long non-coding RNA (PDAC_LNC011835)". The record is from RNAcentral. Lineage: Eukaryota; Viridiplantae; Streptophyta; Magnoliopsida; Arecales; Arecaceae.
CAUGUUCAGUUGGGGUCGACUCAAGGUUGGGUCGACUCAAGUUCCAUUUGGGUCGACCCUCUCAGGGAUUCCAGAGACUUGUUUUCUUAAGGCUUGAAGAUGGGGUCGACUCAACUUUCACUUGGGUCGACCCAAGUACUGUUCAUCCGUGCCAUUUUUGCAGAAGUGUGCCAGAUGUUUCCUUGAUGUGCCGGGGUCGACUCAAUCCACACUUUGCUGCAACUUAAGGUUAGAUUCAUCCAUACAAUCAAUGAAAUAAACUUCAAACAAUUUCGAAUAUAUGUCAUGGUGGUGCUACAUACUCUAAACAAUGAAAAUUACUAUUGUCCACUUAAGAGUACGUUUCACUUGAAACUUUGCCGAAUUGAAAUUUUGAAUUCACUAUCCCUUUUCUAUCGCAAAUUUUAUCUCAUUGUUAAUCAUUAAAAUACAUCUUGAUCUCAUUCUACUAAUGUCCCGAGAGUGACGAACUUAGUAAUGAUGUAUCAUAUUACCUUGUAAUAUUUAAUUAGGUAUACCCUCAAUGGUUGUGUUAAUCAUCAAAAUAACACUAUCAUCCUCAAUCUCCCCCUUUUUGAUGAUUACAAAAUAUUGAGUAUGAGCAAAUUGAUUCUUAUCCUAAAAUUAGUUUUAGAAGGGCUCAAGUAGCUGAAUUUCAGCUUUUUACAUUUGAGAGUGAAGUCUCCCCCUAUUUCAUCCAAAUAUUGCCAAUUUGAACUUUUGAUUUACUCCCCCUUUCUUUUAUAUUUGGUUAAAGAUGAAACGUCAAAAAUUUGAGAUAAAGCAAGAGUUUCAGAUUAUGUAUCAAGGUGUGAGAGGUAUGUACCAAAUUCUAAAAUUUGAUUAAAAGUUUAGAUUUUAAUACAUAUCGCUCCCCCUUAAGUGUAUAUUGUCCUUGUUUGUCAACUUAUUACAACUUAAUUUUCUUUCCUUGCUUCUCCCCCUUUUUGUUAUCAUCAAAUAGGU